RNAcentral lists this ribosomal RNA (448 nucleotides) under uncultured bacterium. RNAcentral describes it as "bacterial SSU rRNA". It matches the Rfam family "Bacterial small subunit ribosomal RNA", at positions 37 to 524 of the family's 1533-position model. The record is from RNAcentral.
UGGAGGCAGCUUACACAUGCAAGUCCUCCGGAUGGAGGCAACCCCAUUAGUGGCGGACGGGUGAGUAACGCGUAGGUAUCUAUCCUUGGGUGGGGGAUAACUGUGGGAAACUACAGAGUAAUACCGCAUGAUCCCUGAGGGGCAAAGGCGCAAGUCGCCUGAGGAGGAGCCUGCGUCCGAUUAGCUAAUUGGUGGGGUAAAGGCCUACCAAGGCUGCGAUAGGUAGCUGGUCUGAGAGGAUGAUCAGCCACACUGGGACUGAGACACGGCCCAGACUCCUACGGGAGGCUAGCAGUGGGGAAUAUUGGACAAUGGGCGCAAGCCUGAUCCAGCAAUGCCGCGUGGGUGAAGAGGGUCUUCGGAUUGUAAAGCCCUUUCGGCGGGGACGAUGGGGACGGUACCAGCAGAAGAAGCCCCGGCUAAGCUUCGUGCCAGCAGCCGCGGUAAU